This is a non-coding RNA of Dermacentor albipictus, 211 nucleotides long. The record is from RefSeq and is a predicted model, not a curated record. NCBI's taxonomy places the organism in Eukaryota, Metazoa, Arthropoda, Arachnida, Ixodida, Ixodidae.
UAGAAGGAGGCCGCUUCAGUGCUCAGCGGUGCCGACUUUUCUACGAGGUUCCACUGCGGCUGCAGCCUCCAGCUCCCUUUAUUUUUCUUCCUCAUUGCCGGGUUUAUUCACCAUUGCACUGCUGGAACAAUUCAGCCUGUCAUGGAUUCGGACAUUUUGUUGGAAACGUCGGAUCUGGAUACCGACGCGUCCGUGGAUACCGACGGGUCCG